GAAAGGCCUACUCUGCUUGAUUAUUUACACUUUAUAGUGAUCAAAUGUUCUAAAUACCCUCACAAGAUACACCUCUGCUAAACCUUUUACUUACAGACUUUGCAAUUCCUACUUUAUAUAGUGUUACAAGAUACAUGAAAAAAUAUUGUGCUUGUCAUUUUCUAUAUUAUUCGAUAUAGUUUAAUACCUAUUUGAGGGCUGUUUCCAAGUCUCAUUCAUUUCUAACUCAGACCUGUCAGUCAGUUUUUGAAUUCCUCAUCAACGUUUACCCAACUAAAAUGUGAAUUUCAUCCUUAGUAGAAUUUCA
Pelobates cultripes (western spadefoot toad) is the source of this 307-nucleotide non-coding RNA. The record is from the annotation of a GenBank genome assembly. NCBI's taxonomy places the organism in Eukaryota, Metazoa, Chordata, Amphibia, Anura, Pelobatidae.